UGGAAACUGGUGUUCAUGUUCUAGG
RNAcentral lists this non-coding RNA (25 nucleotides) under Rattus norvegicus (Norway rat). Lineage: Eukaryota; Metazoa; Chordata; Mammalia; Rodentia; Muridae. The record is from RNAcentral.